AAUGAACGUUGGCGGCAUGGAUUAGGCAUGCAAGUCGAGCGAGAAGAGUUUUGAAGCUUGCUUUAGAACUCGGACAGCGGCGAAAGGGAGAGUAACGCGUAGUUAUGUGCCCUAGGGUCCGGAAUAGCCACGGGAAACUGUGGGUAAUGCCGGAUAAUAUCCCCGGAUCAAAGGUGUGAUUCCGCCCUAGGAGCAGACUGCGUCCUACUAGCUAGUUGGUGGGGUAAUGGCCCACCAAGGCAAUGAUGGGUAGCGGGUGGGAGAGCAUGACCCGUCUCACUGGGACUGGGGCACUGCCCAGACACGUACGGGUGGCUGCAGUCGAGAAUCUUCGGCAAUGGGCGAAAGCCUGACCGAGCGAUGCCGCGUGCGGGAUGAAGGCCCUCGGGUUGUAAACCGCUGUCGUAGGGGAGGAAGGUUCCGUGAAGAGCGGGACUUGACCUAUCCUAGGAGGAAGUACGGGCUAAGUUCGUGCCAGCCGCCGCGGUAA
This 490-nucleotide ribosomal RNA is filed under the name uncultured bacterium. Its description in RNAcentral is "partial 16S ribosomal RNA". It matches the Rfam family "Bacterial small subunit ribosomal RNA", at positions 29 to 523 of the family's 1533-position model. The record is from RNAcentral.